GACGAACGCUGGCGGCGUGCUUAACACAUGCAAGUCGAACGAAGUGGCGAACGGGUGAGUAACGCGUAAUCCACCUGCCCUUCAGAGGGGGACAACAGUUGGAAACGACUGCUAAUACCUCAUACUGAAGGAGGGGAUUGCGUCUGAUUCGCUAGUUGGAGGGGUAACGGCCCAACAAGGCGAUGAUCAGGAGGCGGUCUGGGAGGGUUGACGGCCACAAUGGGAAUGGGACACGGCCCAGACUCCUACGGGAGGCAGCAGUGGGGAAUAUUCCGCAAUGGACGAAAGUCUGACGGAGCAACGCCGCGUGAGUGAUGACGGCCUUCGGGUUGUAAAGCUCUGUUAAUCGGGACGCGGUACCGGAAUAGAAAGCCACGGCUAACUACGUGCCAGCAGCCGCGGUAAUAC
RNAcentral lists this ribosomal RNA (408 nucleotides) under uncultured bacterium. Its description in RNAcentral is "partial 16S ribosomal RNA". It matches the Rfam family "Bacterial small subunit ribosomal RNA", at positions 28 to 526 of the family's 1533-position model. The record is from RNAcentral.